RNAcentral lists this ribosomal RNA (426 nucleotides) under uncultured Bacillota bacterium. RNAcentral describes it as "bacterial SSU rRNA". It matches the Rfam family "Bacterial small subunit ribosomal RNA", at positions 958 to 1385 of the family's 1533-position model. The record is from RNAcentral. Lineage: Bacteria; Bacillati; Bacillota.
AACGCGAAGAACCUUACCAGGUCUUGACAUCCUCUUGAAUACAUUAGAGAUAGUGUAGGCUUUCGGGACAAGAGAGACAGGUGGUGCAUGGUUGUCGUCAGCUCGUGUCGUGAGAUGUUGGGUUAAGUCCCGCAACGAGCGCAACCCUUGAUCUUAGUUGCCAGCAUUAAGUUGGGCACUCUAGGAUGACUGCCGGUGACAAACCGGAGGAAGGUGGGGAUGACGUCAAAUCAUCAUGCCCCUUAUGACCUGGGCUACACACGUACUACAAUGGCCGGUACAACGGGAAGCGAGACCGCGAGGUGGAGCGAAUCCUAAAAAGCCGGUCUCAGUUCGGAUUGCAGGCUGCAACUCGCCUGCAUGAAGUCGGAAUUGCUAGUAAUCGCGGAUCAGCAUGCCGCGGUGAAUACGUUCCCGGGCCUUGUA